GUCCAUUAUAAUUGCCGCAAUCAGAUAGAGUACACCGUUUCGUUUAGUCACGUCUAGACCAUUAUAACUGUCGAUAGCAGAUGUUUACAAUUAAAAGAACAUCUGGCAACUUUACCACUGAAAACCAAAAUAAACCAAAAAAGAACGUCGUAAAGGAGAAUUAUUUUGAUCGAAGUCAAAUUUAAUUACAAUUUCUUCGCUUUGAAUAUCGAGAAUACAAUGAAAUAUGUUUUACGCAACAGUGAAAAUAUAUCUAAGCGUUUAUAAUUGUAAAUGUACUUAAAUAACUAAAGUAACCGCAAAGCAUUAGCUGAACUAAGUGAAGUUUUCGCAGAGGGCGACCAAGGGAGGAGUUAGUAAUUUGUGCCUUCCGACAAAAAAAAACUCUAAAAAGCCUCAGAUACAACAACAACAACAACAGCAAGCUGUUGGGCCCUAAUCACUAAAUUACAGUACCGAAAAUAUUGGAAACAAAAGAUAUACCUGCCACAAGAGGAAUAAGUGAAUAAGUCAGAUAAUGUUCGGUUCGCGCUGGCCGCGUUACCAAUAUGACCUGGACGAUUUGCGGCCCACCAAUGCAACUGAGUUAGUGCUUAAUCGUCAAUAUGGAGGUAUCGAUCGAUUUGUACAACGCCGACUCCAAGUAUCAUCGGCAUAUAUUGAUCGGCUCGAACAGGAGGCUACACUGCGUGGUCAUCAGGGCUGUGUUAAUUGUCUCGAAUGGAGCAGCAAUGGACGGAUACUAGCUUCUGGUUCUGAUGAUUUUUGUGUUAUGCUUUGGGAUCCCUUUCGUAAACGCUGCAUACGUAAUAUACCAACUAAACACUGUGGCAAUAUAUUCUCUGUGAAAUUUUUACCACGUCACAAUGACGCACUCAUUGCAACGGGAGCAGCUGACAGAUCAAUUUACGUAUUUGAUAUAAAUCGACCUAAUGAUGCAAUACUUAGUUGUAGUUGUCACGUUGGUCGUGUAAAACGUUUAGCUACUGCACCGGAUUCACCUUUUGUUUUUUGGUCAGCGGGGGAGGAUGGCUCAAUUCUACAGCUCGAUACUCGAGAUCAGCACCGCUGUAUCACGGAAGGAAACCGUGUACGCUUGAUAAGUCUUGCCACCUAUCUUGAUUCGAAUGCAGAGGCCAAAUGCCUGGCCGUCAAUCCAUUACGUACAGAACUUUUAGCAGUAGGUGCGAAUGAUCCAUAUGCACGCAUAUAUGAUAGGCGAAUGAUACGACCAGUGUCUUCGCAAAUUAGUAAUGGGACUGGAUUAGCCAGUGCUCCAGACACAGCGGAUGGCGUGAUACCUAGAGAUUGCGUCGCAUACUAUUGUCCUGGUCAUAUAAGUAAAGACAAUUGCAAAGUUGUCGAGCACGACACACGUGCCAUUACAUACCUCACGUUCAAUUCAAUCGGCACCGAAUUGCUGGUAAACAUGGGAGGUGAGCAUAUAUAUUUGUACGACUUGCAGAACGCAGAACAGCCCGUGUUUUUGAGUUUACCCGAAUACAAAUCACCACCGGCAACAACGUCCGAGUCGGAUAUGGAGUUGGCUGGAAUGCACCCACAUUUAAGUAGUAGUACUGGAAAUCAGAAUAUCGAAGAAAAUACCGCAGCUGCAGAAAGUGUAAUUAGUCCUGGCGACGCAUCUCAGGCAAGUAGCCGUCGCAAGUUGCCAGAAUAUAUUGAACGUUAUAAAAAAAUGGGAAAUGAUUUUCUAGAAAAUGAGAAAUAUCUUCGUGCUGUUGAAAAAUAUUCGGAAGCAAUUGAACUCGCUCCUAAUUGUUCGGUGUUAUAUCUGAAUCGUGCAACUGCAUAUAUGCGACGACUGUGGUAUGGUGAUGUAUAUGCCGCAUUAAAAGAUUGUCAUCAGGCAUUGCGCUUAGAUCCUUCUUACAUUAAGGCACAUUUUCGUUUAGCUCGUGCACUACUCGUACUUGGCAGGUCGCAAGAGGCAGAUGAAUGCCUUAAAGAAUUAAUAACACGUUUUCCUAGCUAUGCGAAUAACCAUGGCAUCAUGAUGCUACACAAAGAUAUUAAAGAUAAUCGACAAAUGUUACAAUCACAGAUGCAACAAAUACAAUCGGCACCGAUACCGACCAAUGAACAAUCACAUUACACUUUCAUAGAACGUACCGAUGCUGAAUAUCAAUGGCGUAGCAAAGCCAAGGAUUAUAGCAAACGUUAUGUGGGACAUUGCAAUACAACAACAGACAUUAAAGAAGCGAAUUAUUUCGGCAAGGAUGGUGAAUUCAUUGUGGCUGGUUCGGAUAAUGAAAGCUUUUUCAUUUGGGAACGUAAUACUAGCAAAAUACGCGCUAUCUACAAAGCAGAUGUUUCGAUUGUUAAUUGUGUGCAGCCACAUCCGGAGAUUUGUUUAUUGGCAACAAGUGGGAUCGAUCAUGAUAUAAAAAUAUGGUCGCCCAUUGCACCAUCACCGGAUGAACGUCCAAAUCUGGUGGAAUAUGUCGACAAAACCGUUGAAGACAAUCAACAAAAAAUGAAAAUGGAUCCUUUUAAUAUGAACGCUGGCAUGAAUGCUUUCUGUCUUAAUGGAUAAUAUGUGAUAAUUAUCUUCUUUUUUUUUUAUUGAUAAUUGGAACUUUAAUGUGGAAAAGCUUGGGACGGCCUUACAAAAGCCAUAGAAUAGUAAAUGGAUCGUAACUGAAAUUAUUUAAAAAAAAACCAAAAUUAUGUUAGCAGCACAGCGCAGCUUUUAAAAGGAUUGUGCCCUCAAUAAUGUCGGCUCUGACUCUAUAGCCGUCCGCGAAUUAUAUGACAUACAUAUUUGGAAAUGCAAAAUUAUAAUUUAAUAUAUUUCACCGUAGAUGGUACUGCUACGUUGAUGAUUUGAUGAAACCAGAAGACUUCUUUUCGAAAGGAUUAAAUUAAGUUUAAGUUAUUAUAACUAUGUAUUAGUUUUAAAUAAACGAAAUAUCAACAUUU
Molecule: unclassified non-coding RNA, 2940 nt
Filed under: Ceratitis capitata (Mediterranean fruit fly)
Lineage: Eukaryota; Metazoa; Arthropoda; Insecta; Diptera; Tephritidae
Description: wD and tetratricopeptide repeats protein 1, transcript variant X1
Source: RNAcentral